CAUGAAUGGGGCGGAAGCUGCCAGUUAUAUUUACGGGAGCAGGCCAAUGUUUAUCAAGCCUUAGUCUAAUCCCCAGUGUGUAUAUUAGGAAGUAGAAUAUAUUAGAAGUGGUUGGACUGAUUGUGGCGUGGACUGACUUCUGAUGAUGUCACAUACUGACCUACUACACAAUAUAAUUCUACAAAAGGUCAUUAUAGGAAAUGACUACAAAAUGGUUGCAGUUAAAUUUCU
Molecule: non-coding RNA, 231 nt
Organism: Pelobates cultripes (western spadefoot toad)
Lineage: Eukaryota; Metazoa; Chordata; Amphibia; Anura; Pelobatidae
Source: the annotation of a GenBank genome assembly